AUCUAUUUAGUAUAAUAAAGUAUAUAAAGCUUCCAACUUUAAGGUCUUAAUUAGAGUAGAUA
RNAcentral lists this transfer RNA (62 nucleotides) under Yanocephalus yanonis. RNAcentral describes it as "tRNA-Gly". Lineage: Eukaryota; Metazoa; Arthropoda; Insecta; Hemiptera; Cicadellidae. The record is from RNAcentral.